GCCAGGCAUGGUGGUGCAUGCCUGUAAUCCCAGCUACUCGGGAGGCUGAGGCAGGGGAAUCGCUUGAACCCGGGAGAGGGAGAUUGCAGUGAGCCAAGAUCAUGCCACUGCACUCCAGCCUCGAGACUCCGUCUCAAACAAACAAACAAAAACAACCUGAUCCCAGUGAGAUGGUACAAGAACUUGCAAAGUAAAAUACACCUGGGGUAUAGUGUCUUCUGAGAGGGUGGUUAUUGAGUCUCCCUCUAUUGCCCAGGCUGGAGUGCAGUGGCGUGGUCUCGGCUCACUGCAACCUCUGCCUUCUGGGUUCAAGAGAUUCUGCUGCCU
This 327-nucleotide signal recognition particle RNA is filed under the name Homo sapiens (human). Its description in RNAcentral is "Metazoan signal recognition particle RNA". It matches the Rfam family "Metazoan signal recognition particle RNA". From Rfam's summary of the family: The signal recognition particle (SRP) is a universally conserved ribonucleoprotein. Lineage: Eukaryota; Metazoa; Chordata; Mammalia; Primates; Hominidae. The record is from Rfam by way of RNAcentral.